GAUAAACGCUGGCGGCGUGCCUAACACAUGCAAGUCGAACGCCCUACGCAAGUAGGGAGUGGCGGACGGGUGAGGAACACGUGGGUUAUCUGCCUUGAGGUGAGGAAUACCGGCGAGAAAUCGCCGACAAUACCGCAUACGUUCGUAAGAACAAAGUCGCAAGACGCCCCAAGAUGAGCCUGCGUCCGAUUAGCUAGUUGGUGGGGUAAAAGCCUACCAAGGCAGCGAUCGGUAGCUGGUCUGAGAGGACGAUCAGCCACACUGGGAUUGAGAACGGCCCAGACUCCUACGGGGGCAGCAGUGAGGAAUUUUCGUCAAUGGCCGAAAGGCUGAACGAGCAACGCCGCGUGCAGGAAGAAGGUCUUCGGAUCGUAAACUGCUUUUCGUGGGGAAGAGACCGGACGGUACCCCAGGAAGAAGCCCCGGCUAACUACGUGCCAGCAGCCGCAGUAAC
RNAcentral lists this ribosomal RNA (454 nucleotides) under uncultured bacterium. RNAcentral's name for it is "bacterial SSU rRNA". It matches the Rfam family "Bacterial small subunit ribosomal RNA", at positions 28 to 524 of the family's 1533-position model. The record is from RNAcentral.